UGCGCAGGCGGUUCGUUAAGACAGAUGUGAAAUCCCCGGGCUUAACCUGGGAACUGCAUUAGUGACUGGCGGGCUGGAGUAUGGCAGAGGGGGGUAGAAUUCCACGUGUAGCAGUGAAAUGCGUAGAGAUGUGGAGGAAUACCGAUGGCGAAGGCAGCCCCCUGGGCCAAUACUGACGCUCAUGCACGAAAGCGUGGGGAGCAAACAGGAUUAGAUACCCUGGUAGUCCACGCCCUAAACGAUGUCAACUGGUUGUCGGGCCUUCAUUGGCUUGGUAACGUAGCUAACGCGUGAAGUUGACCGCCUGGGGAGUACAGUCGCAAGAUUAAA
Molecule: ribosomal RNA, 330 nt
Filed under: uncultured bacterium
Lineage: Bacteria
Description: bacterial SSU rRNA
Rfam family: Bacterial small subunit ribosomal RNA
Source: RNAcentral